UGUAUAAGUUCAUGCCUUAACAAGGUGAAACCGCGAAUGGCUCAUUAAAACAGUCAUGAUCUAUUUGAUGUUUAAGUUUUCUUAACUUUACAAGGAUAACUGUGGUAAUUCUAGAGCUAAUACUUGCAAUAAAGCCGUAACUCUUAAUUGGGAAGCGGUGCGUUUAUUAGACCAAGACCAAUGAUCUCUUCGGAGAUCUACAAUUGUGGUGACUCUGGAUAACUAAUGGCGUAAAAACCAUGAAGCUGACCCUAUGUCCCGAGGUAGCAAUACUUCACAGCGACGAGGGCAAAUCAUUCGAGUGUCUGCUCUAUCAACUGUCGAUGGUAGGUUAUAUGCCUACCAUGGUUGUAACGGGUAACGGGGAGUUAGGGCUCGACUCCGGAGAGCAGGCCUGAGAAACGGCCAGCACAUCUAAGGAAGGCAGCAGGCGCGCAAAUUACGCAAUGAUAGCAUCCUAUCGACGUAGUGAAGAAAAAUAACGAUGUAGUUCUUAUUUACAAGAUCUACAAUUGGAAUGAGUACACUGUAAAUAUGUUAACGAGUAUCAAUUAGAGGGCAAGUCUGGUGCCAGCAGCCGCGGUAAUUCCAGCUCUAAUAGCGUAUAUUAAAGUUGUUGCGGUUAAAAAGCUCGUAGUUGGAUUUUUGGCUUUGCUUUCAAGUUAGAAUUAUCGUUAAGGUUAGUUUGGCUAAUUUAAACACAAAUAAUGUGCCUAAAAACACUUAUUUGUGGGUCACUAGCUGGUAGUUUCUAAACUUAAAGCGGCCGUUUCGUCACUUUUAUAAGGUGCGAAACACGUCUAUGCGUAUGAUAACAUCACGUUUUCAUUAUGUUUAGAUGAGUUUACCUUGAGAAAAUUAGAGUGCUCAAAGCAGGCGAAUCGUAUGCCGAAAGGUAUGCAUUAAUGCUUGAAUAAUGUUGCAUGGAAUAAUAGAAUAUGGCCUCGGUUCUAUUCUGUUGGUCUUGUAGAACAACAAACAAGUUCGCUAAAUCUAACAAUGUUAUCUGUUGGGUGGCAUUAAUUCUAGUAAAUAUUACAUUUAAUCAUUGUAUAUUGCCUUGUUCGCAAGGAUAAGUGCUAUCAAUCGAUUUUAAGUAUAUAUUUAUCAUGAAUUGUGUCCGCUAGAAAAGCCCAUCAGUUAACAAGAUUUGCGAAUCGAGGCAAUGGUUAAGAGGGAUAGACGGGGGCAUUCGUACUGCAUCGCUAGAGGUGAAAUUCUUAGACCGAUGCAAGACGAACUAAAGCGAAAGCAUUUGCCUAGAAUGUUUUCAUUAAUCAAGAACGAAAGUUAGAGGUUCGAAGGCGAUCAGAUACCGCCCUAGUUCUAACCAUAAACGAUGCCAAUUAGCAAUUAGGCUGAGUUUUUUCAUUAAAAUUAAAUGACUCGCCUAGCGGCUUUCGGGAAACCAAAAUUUUUCGGUUCCGGGGGAAGUAUGAUUGCAAAGUUGAAACUUAAAGGAAUUGACGGAAGGGCACCACCAGGAGUGGAGCCUGCGGCUUAAUUUGACUCAACACGGGGAAACUCACGAGGUUAGUACGCUAAAAUGCUUGACUGUUUGAAGUGCAUUCAAAAGAUAGCGAGUGGUGGUGCAUGGCCGUUCUUGAUUCGUAGAAUGAUUCGUCUGCUUAAUUGCGAUAACGAGUGAGACCUCUUCCAAUUAGCUAGUUUCUGUCUGUCUUGUAGGAUAUAAAACGUUCUUUUGGUCUAUGUUAUGUUUGGUUGCCUCACGGUAUAUUGGAUAUAGCAGCCAGAAGAAUAGGCCUUUAGCCAGCAGAAGACUUCCUAGAGGGAUAAACGGUGUUUUAGCCGUAAUAAAUGAGGCAAUAACAGGUCUGUGAUGCCCUUAGAUAUCCUCGGCCGCACGCGUGCUACAAUGCUAAAGACAUCAUGCUUAUUUAAGUUGUCUAUUAGGGAGUUCUGGUUGGUUUUUGUUGUUAGGCCGCAAGGUUUGGCAAUGAUGCUAAUCGUGAACCUUAGUAGUAACAAUUUGAGAAACCUUGGCUGAAAAGCCUGGGCAAUCAUUUGAACUUUUAGCAUGAUUUGGGAUUGGGGUUUGCAAUUGUUGUCCAUGAACGAGGAAUUCCUAGUAAGCGCGAUUCAUCAUAUCGCGUUGAUUAUGUCCCUGCCCUUUGUACACACCGCCCGUCGCUACUACCGAUUGAAUGAUUUAGUGAGGUCUUUGGAUUGGCCUAUUUAAAAGAGGCGUUAAAACCUCUCUGAAUAAGGCUGAAAAGAUGAUCGAACUUGAUCAUUUAGAGGAAGUAAAAGUCGUAACAAGGUUUCCGU
This 2289-nucleotide ribosomal RNA is filed under the name Boczekella fabris. RNAcentral's name for it is "partial small subunit ribosomal RNA". It matches the Rfam family "Eukaryotic small subunit ribosomal RNA". The record is from RNAcentral. RNAcentral also lists the same sequence under 1 other name. Lineage: Eukaryota; Metazoa; Arthropoda; Arachnida; Trombidiformes; Phytoptidae.